Molecule: ribosomal RNA, 253 nt
Filed under: uncultured bacterium
Lineage: Bacteria
Description: partial 16S ribosomal RNA
Rfam family: Bacterial small subunit ribosomal RNA
Source: RNAcentral
UACGUAGGGGGCAAGCGUUAUCCGGAUUUACUGGGUGUAAAGGGAGCGUAGACGGCAUGGCAAGUCAGAUGUGAAAGCCCGGGGCUCAACCCCGGGACUGCAUUUGAAACUGUCAGGCUGGAGUGCAGGAGAGGUAAGCGGAAUUCCUAGUGUAGCGGUGAAAUGCGUAGAUAUUAGGAGGAACACCAGUGGCGAAGGCGGCUCACUGGACUGUAACUGACGUUGAGGCUCGAAAGCGUGGGGAGCAAACAGG